Molecule: ribosomal RNA, 462 nt
Filed under: Triticum aestivum (bread wheat)
Lineage: Eukaryota; Viridiplantae; Streptophyta; Magnoliopsida; Poales; Poaceae
Description: partial small subunit ribosomal RNA
Source: RNAcentral
AUGGAUCUUGGGUGCCUCAACUAUGGCAUCAUGACCCUCAUCCCCAAGGUCCCGGGCGCCUCCGACAUCCGCCAAUUUCGGCCAAUCACCAUGAUCAAUGUGAUAUUCCGGAUCCUGGCCAAAGGGUACGCCAAUAGGGUGACCCUGCUCGCGGACGCGAUUACCCACCCGAAUCAAUCCGCCUUCAUACAAGGUCGAUUUAUUCUGGAUGGGGUUCUGCUCUUCCACGAAGUCCUCCAUGAGGUACGACUAAAACACCAUCGGGCGGUGUUUCUGAAGCUUGACUUUCACAAGGCCUAUGACACGGUCCACUGGCCCUUCUUGCGGGAAGUGUUGCUUCGCAAGGGCUUCUAUGACCGGUGGGUGACUAGGGUCAUGCAACUUGUCUCAUGUGGACGGAUCGCUGUGAACAUCAACGGGGACAUCGGGCCCUACUUCCCCACCCUCUGUGGGGUUCGUUAG